AACGCGAAGAACCUUACCUGGGCUUGACAUAUAGAGGAUCGCUACAGAGAUGUGGUUUCCCUUGUGGCUUCUACACAGGUGGUGCAUGGUUGUCGUCAGCUCGUGUCGUGAGAUGUUGGGUUAAGUCCCGCAACGAGCGCAACCCUUGUCUUAUGUUGCCAGCACGUUAUGGUGUGGACUCGUGAGAGACUGCCGGGGUCAACUCGGAGGAAGGUGGGGAUGACGUCAAAUCAUCAUGCCCCUUAUGUCCAGGGCUUCACACAUGCUACAAUGGCCGGUACAGAGGGCUGCGAUGCCGUGAGGCGGAGCGAAUCUCUUAAAGCCGGUCUCAGUUCGGAUUGGGGUCUGCAACUCGACCCCAUGAAGUCGGAGUCGCUAGUAAUCGCAGAUCAGCACGC
RNAcentral lists this ribosomal RNA (398 nucleotides) under uncultured Tsukamurella sp. RNAcentral describes it as "bacterial SSU rRNA". It matches the Rfam family "Bacterial small subunit ribosomal RNA", at positions 958 to 1357 of the family's 1533-position model. Lineage: Bacteria; Bacillati; Actinomycetota; Actinomycetes; Mycobacteriales; Tsukamurellaceae. The record is from RNAcentral.